Molecule: ribosomal RNA, 256 nt
Filed under: uncultured bacterium
Lineage: Bacteria
Description: partial 16S ribosomal RNA
Rfam family: Bacterial small subunit ribosomal RNA
Source: RNAcentral
CUAGCUGUAAACUUUGCCUGCUAGCGAUGGGGAGUUAAAUCUCCGUUGCGUAAGCUAACGCGUUAAGCGGGCCGCCUGGGGAGUACGAACGCAAGUUUAAAACUCAAAGGAAUUGACGGGAAGGCGCACAACCAGUGGAGCAUGUGGUUUAAUUCGAAACAAAACGAAGAACCUUACCCAGUCUUGACAUACUACCGUUUAUUUUUCUGGAAACAGAGAGAAAUCCUUUAGAAAUAUUGGAUGGUAGAACAGGUGC